This is a long non-coding RNA of Scylla paramamosain (green mud crab), 926 nucleotides long. RefSeq lists it as uncharacterized. NCBI's taxonomy places the organism in Eukaryota, Metazoa, Arthropoda, Malacostraca, Decapoda, Portunidae. The record is from RefSeq and is a predicted model, not a curated record. The transcript is spliced from 4 exons.
AUUACUAAAAGAGAGAAUAGGAGGGUAGUUAGGUAGCUAUGGAGGAGGAGGAGGAGGAGGAGGAAGAGGAGGAGAAGAGGAGGUCAAGUAGGCUCUCUCCGCCUCAGUAUUAGAAGGACCAGCAAAGGAAGAGGAGGCUGGUGGAAAAGUUAGAAGCUACGGAGACGUGGUUUCUAAGAAGAAUGCAAAGGCCAUGGACAGGAGAGUAACCAGUGAAGUGCUGCGACGUGCAGGAAUGCAGACAAAGUUGCAGGUGAUGCGUAGGUGUGACUGGUCUGCAGUGGUCGGACAUCUUGCCUGAAGUUAUCCUGCGUGGACGAGGAAGGCGCGACACUUAGAACCGCAUCUAUGGAGUAUUUUAAGAGGAGAGAGAGAGAACGAGAGAGAACUGACGACUGAAGUUCUCUCCUCCAUAGAGAAGAGGGCAGACAGACUGAAGAAAUGGGAAGGGACAGGAGAGAGAAAAAAAAAAAAAAGAAACCAAGAAGCGAAGGAAAAAUGCCAACCGCUCACCAAAGGUUCGUUCCCCGGCAUAGCUGGCUUGCCUUCUGAACCCAGUAUUGUUAGACUUGUGGGAUUAGCAGUGUUGCUGAUUAACAAGCAUUUUGUUCGUAAGAGUUCGAGAGACUCUGGUCUUUGAAGUUAAAAAAAUUUAUUUUAUUUUUUUUUAAUACUUUCUUGUCCUCCUUUUUGGAUUACAGUUUCUUCGCACGCUUUUCGAGGUAAAAUAAAGAAGUCUUGUUUUCUCCGGAGGCUUUUUGAGGUAAAAAAAAAAAAAAAAAAAAAAAUCUUUACACGGAAAUGUUCUUCAUAUUUUUCUUUUCAUAAAUAUAUAAAAACCGUUUUCUCCGGAAAAAAAGUUUUCUCUGGAGACUUCUGAUGUAUACUAUAAUUCUGAGGUAAAAAUAAAGGCAAUAUUUUCUCGA